RNAcentral lists this unclassified non-coding RNA (226 nucleotides) under Hevea brasiliensis (rubber tree). Lineage: Eukaryota; Viridiplantae; Streptophyta; Magnoliopsida; Malpighiales; Euphorbiaceae. The record is from RNAcentral.
AUAAUGGCAUGCUCACUGUAAGGUAAAUCAGUGAAUUCACUGUUGCCAUGUGACUUUCUGAAUUGAGACUGUAAUAAAAAAUGAAGCUUAUGUAGGCAAUGUUGUGUUUCACUUAGCUAUGCAUCAUUCGUUGUUACGACCAAACGUUCGUGUAUUUCAUUGAAAAGUAUGACUAUUUGAAUUAUUUGUUGUCAUUUGGGUACAAGUCAAGUUUCUUACAUUUUUG